AGCGAACGCUGGCGGCAGGCCUAACACAUGCAAGUCGAACGAACCUUUCGGGGUUAGUGGCGGACGGGUGAGUAACACGAGGGGAGGUGCAUUUAGGUUCGGAAUAACUCAGGGAAACUUGUGCUAAUACCGAACGUGCGCUUCGGGGGAAAGAUUUUUUGAGCCUAGAGCGGACCGCGUCAGAUUAGCUGGUUGGUUGAGGAAAUGGGUCACCACGGCGACGAACAGUAGCUGGUCUGGGAGGAUGACCAGCCACAUUGGGACUGAGACACGGCCCCAACUCUUACGGGAGGCAGCAGGUGUGAAUCUUGCACAAUGGGCGAAAGCCGGACGCUGCCAUGCCGCGUAAAUGAGUAAGUUCUUAGGAUCGUAAAAUUCUUUCGCCGGGUACGAUAAUGACGGUACCCGGAGAAGAAGCCCCGGCUAACUUCGUG
This 434-nucleotide ribosomal RNA is filed under the name uncultured bacterium. RNAcentral's name for it is "partial 16S ribosomal RNA". It matches the Rfam family "Bacterial small subunit ribosomal RNA", at positions 29 to 507 of the family's 1533-position model. The record is from RNAcentral.